This 232-nucleotide ribosomal RNA is filed under the name uncultured bacterium. Its description in RNAcentral is "partial 16S ribosomal RNA". It matches the Rfam family "Bacterial small subunit ribosomal RNA", at positions 99 to 334 of the family's 1533-position model. The record is from RNAcentral.
CGGACGGGUGAGUAAUGUCUGGGAAACUGCCCGAUGGAGGGGGAUAACUACUGGAAACGGUAGCUAACACCGCAUAACGUCGCAAGACCAAAGAGGGGGACCUUAGGGCCUCUUGCCAUCGGAUGUGCCCAGAUGGGAUUAGCUAGUAGGUGGGGUAACGGCUCACCUAGGCGACGAUCCCUAGCUGGUCUGAGAGGAUGACCAGCCACACUGGAACUGAGACACGGUCCAG